This 728-nucleotide unclassified non-coding RNA is filed under the name Hevea brasiliensis (rubber tree). Lineage: Eukaryota; Viridiplantae; Streptophyta; Magnoliopsida; Malpighiales; Euphorbiaceae. The record is from RNAcentral.
CUUCUAAUUCAUCUAGCAUCAUCUGGCACAGUUGAUAUUCUCAGCAACAAUUAAUGUUCAGAGAGAGAGAGAGAGAUAAUUGGCAACAUUACCAUUUCUACACAUACAGUAUUGUCACAUUUAUAGUUUAAAGAUCCAAUAAAGCAACAGAGUGAACCAUGCAUACGCAGAGCAAAUGACUCAUUAUUUGGUAGAAAAAUAAAGGACAAAAUAAAUAUCUAUUGGAGUUUACUAGGAAGAGCACUAUAUUAAUAAUUCUCCUCUUUUGACAUUUACCGAAUAUGAGAAUAGAAUACAACUGUAAAAUGGUGAAGUUGACAGCCAUUGAGAAUAAAUUAAUGGAAACAUCACCAAAGAUGGCUUGGCCACUGUUGGAAUAUCAUCUGCGAGAACAAGUCUCACAUUGGUAGUUUACAAGAAAAUUAAAGGGCCCAAGUGUUGGCAAACCAAACCAAUGGGAAGCCCAGUUCAGCUUGUAGCCUGCUAGUUUGAUAUUCACACCCUUGGGCCCAAAAUUCAACAUGGUAUUAAAGCAGGUCAGGGCCCGGUUUCAGCUCCAAUUCAAUUUCUCAGUAUUGCCGCUAAAUUUCAGUUUUAGCUUUCAAGUGUCAAUCCAAUGUUCCGGUUGCCACUUGAGGGGAAGUGUUGAAAUAUUACUUGUGGGAACAAGUCCCACGCUAGUAGUGAACAAGAAAAUUAAAGGACAUAUAAGUGUUAGCAAACCAAAU